GGGACUGCAAGCCGAGGCGCCAUCAACCUCGUUAAUCAGGUGGCAAAGAAAGUACCUGACGACAAUCAGUACGCACUAGCCGCUUAAUACCGGCUACGUCUCCCGGUUCCUACUCCCGAGGGGGCUGACGAGGCGACGAAAAUCGGGAUGCUGUUUCGGUGACGCCGAUGCCCGGGACAAAAGACCAUCGGCUAGCCCUGAGCGCCGUCUCUGCCGGUGCGGAGGCGCCGGGGUGACCUUAAGCAUCGGCUAAGCUUGUAGAUGUCUUGGUCGGAGAGUCUUCUGGACGGGGAGUUCGACCCUCCCCCGUCUCCACCA
This 318-nucleotide transfer-messenger RNA is filed under the name Dehalococcoidia bacterium. Its description in RNAcentral is "partial transfer-messenger RNA". It matches the Rfam family "transfer-messenger RNA", at positions 39 to 374 of the family's 374-position model. From Rfam's summary of the family: Bacterial tmRNA, also known as 10Sa RNA or SsrA, is named for its dual tRNA and mRNA-like properties. Its role is to liberate the mRNA from a stalled ribosome. Lineage: Bacteria; Bacillati; Chloroflexota; Dehalococcoidia. The record is from RNAcentral.